This is a small nucleolar RNA of Dipodomys ordii (Ord's kangaroo rat), 96 nucleotides long. The record is from Ensembl. NCBI's taxonomy places the organism in Eukaryota, Metazoa, Chordata, Mammalia, Rodentia, Heteromyidae.
UGCACCUUACAGACCAGUGCAAACAGUAAAUCCUCUUUUGCAACCCAGAACUCAAUGUGGAGUAUGAGAUUUCUGGUACAUGUAAGAAGGAAUAUG